AGUGAACGCUGGCGGCAUGCCUAACACAUGCAAGUCGAACGGCAAGACAAUAAGCUUUCUCUUCUACCGUUAGCGGGGGGCGGGCGGGUAACGAGUACAUCACCUUCUUCUAUUUCUGGGGUGACUACGGAGAGACGCAGACACUAACAGAUCAUAUAUCGUACCGCUGGAAUCAGUGGAGCUUGACGCUUUUCGUGUCUCUUUUAGCCGAUUCCGUGUCGGAUUAGCUAGUUGGUAAGGUAACGGCUUACCAAGGCGACGAUGCGUAGCUGAUCUGAGAGGAUGAUCAGCCACACUGGAACUGAGACACGGUCCAGACUCCUACGGGAGGCAGCAGUGGGGAAUAUUGGACAAUGGGCGCAAGCCUGAUCCAGCAAUACCGCGUGGGUGAAGAAGGCCUUCGGGUUGUAAAGCCCUUUUGUUGGGAAAGAAAAGCAGCAGGUUAAUACCCCGCUGUUCUGACGGUACCCAAAGAAUAAGCAACGGCUAACUUCGUG
RNAcentral lists this ribosomal RNA (497 nucleotides) under uncultured bacterium. RNAcentral describes it as "partial 16S ribosomal RNA". It matches the Rfam family "Bacterial small subunit ribosomal RNA", at positions 29 to 507 of the family's 1533-position model. The record is from RNAcentral.